AACGAACGCUGGCGGCAGGCUUAACACAUGCAAGUCGAGCGCCUCGCCAGAGGUGCGGCAGUCUGGUGAGUAGCGCGUGGGGACGGACCCUUAUCUUCAGCAUAGCCUUGGGAAUCUGGAAGUAAUACGGAAUGUGCCCUAAGGUGGAAAGGUAUAUCGGCUAAGGAUGGGCGCGCGUUGGAUUAGCUAGUUGGGGGGGUGAACGCCUAGCAAGGCGACGAGCCAUAGCUGGGCUGAGAGGAGGAUCAGCGACAUUGGGGCUGAGACACAGCCCAGAAUCCUACGGAAGGGAGGAGAGGGGAAUAUAGGACAAGGGAGGCAAGCAUGAUGCAGCCCUGCUGGGUGAGUGAUGAAGGCGGUAGGGAAGUAAAGCUGUUUCACCGGAGAAGAUAAUGACGGUAUCCGGAGAAGAAGCACCGGCUAACUUCGUG
This 431-nucleotide ribosomal RNA is filed under the name uncultured bacterium. RNAcentral's name for it is "partial 16S ribosomal RNA". It matches the Rfam family "Bacterial small subunit ribosomal RNA", at positions 29 to 507 of the family's 1533-position model. The record is from RNAcentral.